This 835-nucleotide ribosomal RNA is filed under the name Pseudoalteromonas sp. D49-C03. Its description in RNAcentral is "bacterial SSU rRNA". It matches the Rfam family "Bacterial small subunit ribosomal RNA", at positions 29 to 873 of the family's 1533-position model. The record is from RNAcentral. Lineage: Bacteria; Pseudomonadati; Pseudomonadota; Gammaproteobacteria; Alteromonadales; Pseudoalteromonadaceae.
AUGAACGUCUUGGCGGCAGGCCUAACACAUGCAAGUCGAGACGGUAACAGAAAGUAGCUUGCUACUUUGCUGACGAGCGGCGGACGGGUGAGUAAUGCUUGGGAACAUGCCUUUAGGUGGGGGACAACAGUUGGAAACGACUGCUAAUACCGCAUGAUGUCUACGGACCAAAGGGGGCUUCGGCUCUCGCCUAAAGAUUGGCCCAAGUGGGAUUAGCUAGUUGGUGAGGUAAUGGCUCACCAAGGCAACGAUCCCUAGCUGGUUUGAGAGGAUGAUCAGCCACACUGGAACUGAGACACGGUCCAGACUACUACGGGAGGCAGCAGUGGGGAAUAUUGCACAAUGGGCGCAAGCCUGAUGCAGCCAUGCCGCGUGUGUGAAGAAGGCCUUCGGGUUGUAAAGCACUUUCAGUCAGGAGGAAAGGUUAGUAGUUAAUACCUGCUAGCUGUGACGUUACUGACAGAAGAAGCACCGGCUAACUCCGUGCCAGCAGCCGCGGUAAUACGGAGGGUGCGAGCGUUAAUCGGAAUUACUGGGCGUAAAGCGUACGCAGGCGGUUUGUUAAGCGAGAUGUGAAAGCCCCGGGCUCAACCUGGGAACUGCAUUUCGAACUGGCAAACUAGAGUGUGAUAGAGGGUGGUAGAAUUUCAGGUGUAGCGGUGAAAUGCGUAGAGAUCUGAAGGAAUACCGAUGGCGAAGGCAGCCACCCUGGGUCANACUGACGCUCAUGUACGAAAGCGUGGGAGCCAACAGGAUUAGAUACCUGGUAGUCACGCCGUAACGAUGUCACUUGAGCUCGACUUCGGAUUGUUUCAAGCUACGAUUAAGUAACGCC